UACGUAGGGGGCAAGCGUUGUCCGGAAUCAUUGGGCGUAAAGCGCGCGUAGGCGGCCCGGUAAGUCCGUUGUGAAAGUCAAAGGCUCAACCUUUGAACGCCGAUGGGUACUGCCGGGCUAGAGUCCGGAAGAGGCGAGUGGAAUUCCUGGUGUAGCGGUGGAAUGCGCAGAUAUCAGGAGGAACACCAAUAGCGAAGGCAGCUCGCUGGGACGGUACUGACGCUGAGGCGCGGAAGCGUGGGGAGCGAACAGG
RNAcentral lists this ribosomal RNA (253 nucleotides) under uncultured bacterium. Its description in RNAcentral is "partial 16S ribosomal RNA". It matches the Rfam family "Bacterial small subunit ribosomal RNA", at positions 524 to 776 of the family's 1533-position model. The record is from RNAcentral.